CCUACGGGGAGCAGCAGUGAGGAAUAUUGGUCAAUGGACGAGAGUCUGAACCAGCCAAGUAGCGUGAAGGAUGACUGCCCUAUGGGUUGUAAACUUCUUUUAUAUGGGAAUAAAAUGUUCCACGUGUGGGAUUUUGUAUGUACCAUAUGAAUAAGGAUCGGCUAACUCCGUGCCAGCAGCCGCGGUAAUACGGAGGAUCCGAGCGUUAUCCGGAUUUAUUGGGUUUAAAGGGAGCGUAGGUAGAUUGUUAAGUCAGUUGUGAAAGUUUGCGGCUCAACCGUAAAAUUGCAGUUGAAACUGGCAGUCUUGAGUACAGUAGAGGUGGGCGGAAUUCGUGGUGUAGCGGUGAAAUGCUUAGAUAUCACGAAGAACUCCGAUUGCGAAGGCAGUUCACUGGACUGCAACUGACACUGAGGCUCGAAAGUGUGGGUAUCAAACAGGAUUAGAUACCCCGGUAGUC
Molecule: ribosomal RNA, 460 nt
Filed under: uncultured bacterium
Lineage: Bacteria
Description: partial 16S ribosomal RNA
Rfam family: Bacterial small subunit ribosomal RNA
Source: RNAcentral